This 468-nucleotide ribosomal RNA is filed under the name uncultured bacterium. RNAcentral's name for it is "partial 16S ribosomal RNA". It matches the Rfam family "Bacterial small subunit ribosomal RNA", at positions 28 to 507 of the family's 1533-position model. The record is from RNAcentral.
GACGAACGCUGGCGGCGUGCUUAACACAUGCAAGUCGAACGGCAAGGCCCUGCUUUUGUGGGGUGCUCGAGUGGCGAACGGGUGAGUAACACGUGAGUAACCUGCCCUUGACUUUGGGAUAACUUCAGGAAACUGGGGCUAAUACCGGAUAGGAGCUCCUGCUGCAUUGUGGGGGUUGGAAAGUUUCGGCGGUUGGGGAUGGACUCGCGGCUUAUCGGCUUGUUGGUGGGGUAGUGGCUUACCAAGGCUUUGACGGGUAGCCGGCCUGAGAGGGUGACCGGCCACAUUGGGACUGAGAUACGGCCCAGACUCCUACGGGAGGCAGCAGUGGGGAAUAUUGCACAAUGGGCGGAAGCCUGAUGCAGCAACGCCGCGUGCGGGAUGACGGCCUUCGGGUUGUAAACCGCUUUCGCCUGUGACGAAGCGUGAGUGACGGUAAUGGGUAAAGAAGCACCGGCUAACUACGUG